UACGUAGGAGACGAGCGUUGUCCGGAAUUACUGGGCGUAAAGCGCGUGUAGGCGGGCGUGCAAGUCUGCUGUGAAAGCUCCUGGCUUAACCGGGAGUGGUCGGUGGAAACUGCACACCUGGAGGACGGUAGAGGUAGGUAGAAUUCCCGGUGUAGUGGUGAAAUGCGUAGAGAUGUGGAGGAACACCGAUGGCGAAGGCAGCCCCCUGGGUCAAGAUUGACGCUCAUGCACGAAAGCGUGGGGAGCAAACAGG
This 253-nucleotide ribosomal RNA is filed under the name uncultured bacterium. RNAcentral's name for it is "partial 16S ribosomal RNA". It matches the Rfam family "Bacterial small subunit ribosomal RNA", at positions 524 to 776 of the family's 1533-position model. The record is from RNAcentral.